UACGUAGGGUGCAAGCGUUGUCCGGAAUCAUUGGGCGUAAAGCGCGCGUAGGCGGCCCGAUAAGUCCGCUGUGAAAGUCAACGGCUCAACUGUUGAAAGCCGGUGGAUACUGUCGGGCUAGAGUACGGAAGAGGCAAGUGGAAUUCCUGGUGUAGCGGUGGAAUGCGCAGAUAUCAGGAGGAACACCUAUAGCGAAGGCAGCUUGCUGGGACGUUACUGACGCUAAGGCGCGAAAGCGUGGGGAGCGAACAGG
This 253-nucleotide ribosomal RNA is filed under the name uncultured bacterium. RNAcentral describes it as "partial 16S ribosomal RNA". It matches the Rfam family "Bacterial small subunit ribosomal RNA", at positions 524 to 776 of the family's 1533-position model. The record is from RNAcentral.